This 390-nucleotide unclassified non-coding RNA is filed under the name soil metagenome. RNAcentral describes it as "partial contains 5.8S ribosomal RNA, internal transcribed spacer 2, and large subunit ribosomal RNA". The stretch from base 1 to 122 matches the Rfam family "5.8S ribosomal RNA", at positions 35 to 154 of the family's 154-position model. The record is from RNAcentral.
GAUGAAGAACGUAGCGAAAUGCGAUACUUGGUGUGAAUUGCAGAAUCCCGUGAACCAUCGAGUCUUUGAACGCAAGUUGUGCCCGAAGCCAUUAGGCCGAGGGCACGCCUGCCUGGGCGUCACACGUCGUUGCCCCCCCAUCUACUCCUUCGGGAUUGCGGGGGGCGGAUGAUGGCCUCUCGUGCGCCUCGUCGCGCGGUUGGCCUAAAUGCCAAGUCCUCGGCGACGCACGCCACGACAAUCGGUGGUUGCGAAACCUCGGUUGCCUGUCGUGUGCGGUCGUCGCGCAUCGAGGGCUCGAAAAAAUUGCCGGGCUUCGGCUCGACUUUCAACGCGACCCCAGGUCAGGCGGGGUUACCCGCUGAAUUUAAGCAUAUCAUAAGCGGAGGA